AACGAACGCUGGCGGCAUGCCUAACACAUGCAAGUCGAACGAGACCUUCGGGUCUAGUGGCGCACGGGUGCGUAACGCGUGGGAACCUGCCUUUAGGUUCGGAAUAACUCAGAGAAAUUUGAGCUAAUACCGGAUGAUGUCUUCGGACCAAAGAUUUAUCGCCUUUAGAUGGGCCCGCGUUGGUUUAGCUAGUUGGUGGGGUAAGGGCCUACCAAGGCGACGAUCCAUAGCUGGUCUGAGAGGAUGAUCAGCCACACUGGGACUGAGACACGGCCCAGACUCCUACGGGAGGCAGCAGUGGGGAAUAGUGGACAAUGGGCGAAAGCCUGAUACAGCAAUGCCGCGUGAGUGAUGAAGGCCUUAGGGUUGGAAAGCGCUUUUACCCGAGAUGAUAAUGACAGUAUCGGGAGAAUAAGCUCCGGCUAACUCCGUG
This 433-nucleotide ribosomal RNA is filed under the name uncultured bacterium. RNAcentral describes it as "partial 16S ribosomal RNA". It matches the Rfam family "Bacterial small subunit ribosomal RNA", at positions 29 to 507 of the family's 1533-position model. The record is from RNAcentral.